GAUGAACGCUGGCGGCGUGCCUAACACAUGCAAGUCGAACGGAAAGGCCCUGCUUUUGUGGGGUGCUCGAGUGGGGAACGGGGGAGUAACACGUGUGUAUCCUGCCCUUGUCUUUGGGAUAACUUCAGGAAACUGGGGCUAAUAUCGGAUAGGAGCUCCUGUUCCAUGGGGGGCGGUGGAUAGUUUCGGCGGUUGUGGAUGGACUCGCGGCUUAUCAGCUUGUUGGUGGGGUAGUGGCUUACCAAGGCUUUGACGGGUAGCCGGCAUGAGAGGGUGGCCGGCCACAUGGGGACUGAGAGACGGCGCAGACUCCUACGGGAGGCAGCGGGGGGGAAUAUUGCACAAUGGGCGGGAGCCUGAUGCGACAACGCCGGGUGCGGAAUGACGGCCUUCGGGUUGUAAACCGCUUUCGCCUGUGACGAAGCGGUAGUGACGGUAAUGAGUAAAGAAGCACCGGCUAACUACGUG
RNAcentral lists this ribosomal RNA (468 nucleotides) under uncultured bacterium. Its description in RNAcentral is "partial 16S ribosomal RNA". It matches the Rfam family "Bacterial small subunit ribosomal RNA", at positions 28 to 507 of the family's 1533-position model. The record is from RNAcentral.